GGGAAUCUUCCACAAUGGGCGAAAGCCUGAUGGAGCAACGCCGCGUGAAUGAAGAAGGCCUUCGGGUUGUAAAAUUCUGUUAUAAGGGAAGAAAGGUGAUAGGAGGAAAUGACUAUCAAUUGACGGUACCUUAUGAGAAAGCCACGGCUAACUACGUGCCAGCAGCCGCGGUAAUACGUAGGUGGCAAGCGUUAUCCGGAAUUAUUGGGCGUAAAGAGCGCGCAGGUGGUUAAUUAAGUCUGAUGUGAAAGCCUUCGGCUUAACCGGAGUAGUGCAUUGGAAACUGGGAGACUUGAGUGCAGAAGAGGAGAGUGGAACUCCAUGUGUAGCGGUGAAAUGCGUAGAUAUAUGGAGGAACACCAGUGGCGAAGGCGGCUCUCUGGUCUGUAACUGACGCUGAGGCUCGAAAGCGUGGGGAGCA
Molecule: ribosomal RNA, 421 nt
Filed under: uncultured bacterium
Lineage: Bacteria
Description: bacterial SSU rRNA
Rfam family: Bacterial small subunit ribosomal RNA
Source: RNAcentral